Molecule: long non-coding RNA, 2366 nt
Organism: Rhineura floridana
Lineage: Eukaryota; Metazoa; Chordata; Lepidosauria; Squamata; Rhineuridae
Exons: 3
Source: RefSeq, a predicted model, not a curated record
CAGGGUGUUGGCUCUCCAAACCUGAGCACAGCUGGAGCCUGCAAUUGCUUUUCAUGCCCUAGGGAUGUUGUUGCUAAGUAGUGCAGGUAGCAGAAGCAGCUGCUGCAAAGGAAGAGGGAGUUGUGCAUAGCAUUAGCCACAGUGCUCAGGCAGGGAAUUUAACCACUACAGCCUAUGGUUCCAAAAGAGAGCAUUGGAAAUUGGAGCCCAAAGGUUUUGUGGCUCCUGCAAUACUUUACAGAGGCACACAGAGAACAACCUUUGGACCAUGGAUGCAAACCAGUUCAAAAGGCUGAGCUCUCUAGGUCAAGCUCUGAAGUUUGGCAAGCAUCCUAGCCUAAAGGGGGAAGGGAAGGGAUUUGUGGGACUCACCUUCCAAGAUGUAGACCUUGAAUCCGCUGCUGAUGCCUGUGGUGUAGUGAAGAUCAGCCAAGGCCAUCUUUGCUAGGAGCUCCACACAGGUGGUGCUUGUUGGAAGAAGAUUCAAUUUGCUGCAGAAUGUAGGAUCACCCUCAAUCUAAACAGUUAAUCUUUUUUAGGAUGUAGGACCUUAUAGAUUUCUUCCUACUCCAGCAAAGGGUGGGUCUGUAUGUAUUCCCUUUUUUCCCUAGGACAGAAGAGGACCACCAGUUCUCUGGACCCAACAGGCUGUCCUUUGAAAAGUGCAACUCCACUGCACCACACGCAGCAUCCCUUCUUGAACUUUUGGAUUUCUACCUUGGAGGGUGGAGCUAGAGUUGGCCAGUUCCAACAGGCCUGACACUCUCCUCUUCCCUCUCUUGUUAGCCCCCUCAGGGCAAUGCACACACCCUUGUGGGGAAGAGCAGAGGGAGCAGAAAGUGCACUGCCCCCAAAAGAAGCAGAUGGAAAGGAGUCUCGGAGAUACAUUUUGGAAAGUGUGAAGAAUGGGGAGUAGGCACUGAGUUAAAACCUGGGAGAAAUGUUCAAGAUAUGUGCUUGCAAGAAUGUGGAGGUGAUCAGAAUGAGGAAUAGAGCUAAAGGCCAAGAAGGCACAUGUUGCCUAAGGCAUGCCACGAAUUCACUAGGCAGCAACAGAUUUCAACUGGAGGCUCCGUGUUUCAUAGCUCAGUCCUUUUAUGCCGGUUCUUAAAAAGAUAGUUUGCGGCUAGUUUAACAGGGCACAUUUAAAAUACACCCCCACCCCCCAAGAAGCCUGGGAUUGUAGUUUAUCCCUCAUAGGGGGAGAGAUGUACUUAAACCGUUAACGUAAAAGCCACAGUCCCUUUUCUUAAAUCACCUUAACUCCUAAUGUGCCUCUGGUAUUGGCCUUUUGGGGGACUUUUGCCGGUGGAGGCCAGGGAAGGGUGGAAGGACCCGGCACCGCAGAGGUUAAAGGGAGCGGCCCGAGCCGCACCUGGCAUGAGGGGAGCCACGAGCCAAAGGACUGGGGGCGCGUGUCAGGGCUGGCUCUCUCCCUGCCGCCUCCCCGCACCCUUCGAAGUAGUCGGGCGGCAUUCCACGGGCUUUCCCCACCCCGAGUGCCGGAGGGAGGGAAGGAAGGUGGCAGGCCUGGCUUGGACCAACGGGGCCUGCCUCACCCGAUGCCUGGCACGCCCCAUCCUGCCCCAGAGACAGCUGCUUUGUCGAAAGGCGCGGAGCCCAGCGGGGGGUGAGGGCGAGGAGUCUGGCAGUCUGGCCUUGCUCAGUGGACUGAGAGCGGGGAAUGGGACCCAGCAAGUCAACGUGCCGGCUGAGAGCCAGGAUUCCUGGGCUUGUCCAGGUCUGCCCUAGCGGCAAACGAUUCAGAGGUAUUCCUCCACUAGCGCAACACAAAACCUCCUCCCAGACAUGCAUGAAGACUAUCAGACAAGUUUAAUGUCCUUAAAUACAGGACUGUAGGCGGAGAAAAUUACCAGUGAAAUCUUUGCCCCUGGCCAGCGGUUAAGCGCCCCCUGUUCGUCCUAUAAAAACCAGGAGUGUUGCUUUUUAAAAAAUGUUUUAAAUGGCCCUAGCUCCCCGUGCCUUAGCAGCAGGAAAAUGUGAAGACGUUAGCGGGUGAUAAAAGGGCCAGAUCCAACAAAGACCUCUUCCUGAUCUGACCUAUACAGUAGGGCCCCGCUUUACAGCAUUCUGCUAAUACAGCUGUUGUCAAUUGCAGAAAGGCCCCUCUCCUACCGCGCUGGUUCCGCUUUUAUGGCGGUUUUUGCUUGUCGCGUGCCAUUUUCGCGUCAUUUUCACGCAAUGCACACCAUUAUCUUCAAUGUGUUCCACUUUACAGCGGUUUUCGCUUUACAGCGGGGGUCCAGAACGUAACCCGCUGUAUGAGUGGGGCCCUACUGUAUUGUGUGGAGGGGAGUGAUUGGGUCUGCCCCCACUCCUGAUAUCCCUGAUGACCAUGCAAAUGU